UCUUAUUUGGUGCUUCAACUACAUUAGUUCUGAUGCCAACCAACAUUCUAGGUCCCCAAGGUUACUGAGCCUGUACAUCGGUCGUUAAACCGGAUCCCUAAUAUCAAGUGUCCAUUGAGUUAACCAUCAGUACUGGAAUGUACAUGACUUCAUUUCUGCACACCAUGUCUACAACAAUCCAUGCUUGCAACAUUGUUUGGAGAGUCUCUGGUUCUGCCCAUGAUUGGUUGUCUCUCUAAUAUUAUCCAUGGCCCUUGUUCUGUCCAACUCUAUGGUUCUGCCCGUGGCCAUGGUACCACUAGUGUGAGAUGGGGGAAAACUCUAGUUCUCAACCCACUCCAAGUGCUGUUAUUUAUU
Pelobates cultripes (western spadefoot toad) is the source of this 357-nucleotide non-coding RNA. The record is from the annotation of a GenBank genome assembly. Lineage: Eukaryota; Metazoa; Chordata; Amphibia; Anura; Pelobatidae.